UACGUAGGGUGCGAGCGUUAAUCGGAAUUACUGGGCGUAAAGCGUGCGCAGGCGGUUAUAUAAGACAGAUGUGAAAUGCCCGGGCUCAACCUGGGACCUGCAUUUGUGACUGUAUAGCUAGAGUACGGUAGAGGGGGAUGGAAUUCCGCGUGUAGCAGUGAAAUGCGUAGAUAUGCGGAGGAACACCGAUGGCGAAGGCAAUCCCCUGGACCUGUACUGACGCUCAUGCACGAAAGCGUGGGGAGCAAACAGG
RNAcentral lists this ribosomal RNA (253 nucleotides) under uncultured bacterium. Its description in RNAcentral is "partial 16S ribosomal RNA". It matches the Rfam family "Bacterial small subunit ribosomal RNA", at positions 524 to 776 of the family's 1533-position model. The record is from RNAcentral.